AGAGUUUGAUCAUGGCUCAGAACGAACGCUGGCGGCGUGGAUAAGACAUGCAAGUCGAACGGGAAUCAUGGUGUAGCAAUACAUCGUGGUUUCAGUGGCGAAAGGGUGCGUAACACGUAGCUAUCUACCUUCAAGUGGGGGAUAACGCCGAGAAAUCGGUGCUAAUACCGCAUGUGAACGAAAGUUUAAGACUGGGGAUCGUAAGACCUGGUGCUUGAAGAUGAGGCUGCGGCCUAUCAGCUAGUUGGCGGGGUAAAAGCCCACCAAGGCUUAGACGGGUAGCUGGUCUGAGAGGACGACCAGCCACACUGGAACUGAGACACGGUCCAGACACCUACGGGUGGCAGCAGUCGAGGAUUUUUCUCAAUGGGGGAAACCCUGAAGGAGCGACGCCGCGUGAGGGAUGAAGGUCUUCGGAUUGUAAACCUCUGUCAUCUGGGAACAAUGCGCUCCACCUAACACGUGGAUCGUUGAUAGUACCGGAAGAGGAAGCAGUGGCUAACUCUGUGCCAGCAGCCGCGGUAAUACAGAGACUGCAAGCGUUGUUCGGAUUCAUUGGGCGUAAAGGGUGCGCAGGCGGUGCGCUAAGUCGGAUGUGAAAUCUCACAGCCUAACUGUGAUAGGUCAUUCGAAACUGGCGUGCUUGAGGAUUGGAGAGGAGACUGGAAUAGUCGGUGUAGCGGUGAAAUGCGUAGAGAUCGACUAGAACACCGGUGGCGAAGGCGGGUCUCUGGACAAUUCCUGACGCUCAUGCACGAAAGCCAGGGGAGCAAACGGGAUUAGAUACCCCCGUAGUCC
This 798-nucleotide ribosomal RNA is filed under the name uncultured bacterium. RNAcentral describes it as "bacterial SSU rRNA". It matches the Rfam family "Bacterial small subunit ribosomal RNA", at positions 8 to 796 of the family's 1533-position model. The record is from RNAcentral.